CGGGGUGCAGCAGGCGCGAAAACUUCACACUGGGGGGAACCCCGAUGAGGGAAAUCCUAGUGCUAGGACAUUUGUUCUAGCUUUUCUCAAGCGUAGAUAACUUGAGGAAUAAGGGCUGGGUAAGACGGGUGCCAGCCGCCGCGGUAAUACCUGCAGCCCAAGUGGUGGUCGAUUUUAUUGAGUCUAAAACGUUCGUAGCCGGUUUGGUAAAUCUUUGGGUAAAUCGGGAAGCUUAACUUUCCGACUUCCGAAGAGACUGUCAAACUUGGGACCGGGAGAGGCUAGAGGUACUUCUGGGGUAGGGGUAAAAUCCUGUAAUCCUAGAAGGACCACCGGUGGCGAAGGCGUCUAGCUAGAACGGAUCCGACGGUGAGGGACGAAGCCCUGGGUCGCAAACGGGAUUAGAUACCCCGGUAGUCCAGGGUGUAAACGUUGCAGACUUGGUGGUUGGAGGCCCUUCGGGGGCAUUCAGUGCCGGAGAGAAGUUGUUAAGGUCUGCUACUUGGGGAGUACGUCCGCAAGGAUGAAACUUAAAGGAAUUGGCGGGGGAGCAC
Molecule: ribosomal RNA, 554 nt
Filed under: uncultured archaeon
Lineage: Archaea
Description: bacterial SSU rRNA
Rfam family: Archaeal small subunit ribosomal RNA
Source: RNAcentral